RNAcentral lists this unclassified non-coding RNA (329 nucleotides) under soil metagenome. RNAcentral describes it as "partial contains 5.8S ribosomal RNA, internal transcribed spacer 2, and large subunit ribosomal RNA". The stretch from base 1 to 120 matches the Rfam family "5.8S ribosomal RNA", at positions 35 to 154 of the family's 154-position model. The record is from RNAcentral.
GAUGAAGAACGUAGCGAAAUGCGAUAAGUAGUGUGAAUUGCAGAAUUCAGUGAAUCAUCGAAUCUUUGAACGCACAUUGCGCCCCUUGGUAUUCCGAGGGGCAUGCCUAUUCGAGCGUCAUUAUCACCCCUCAAGCCUAGCUUGGUGUUGAGGCCUGCUGUCAAGGCAGCCUCUAAAAUCAGUGGCAGUGCUGUCAGGCUCUAAGCGUAGUAAAUCUAAUCGCUAUAGACACCUGGUGGACACUCGCCAGAACCCCCCCAUUUUUUAAUGAUUGACCUCGGAUUAGGUAGGGAUACCCGCUGAACUUAAGCAUAUCAAUAAGCGGAGGA